UCCGAGGGGUGUGCGUGUCUGGAAAAUGUGAGCCCAUUGGAUGUGAUGGGGUUCUGUUCUCCCCCCACGUUCUGGAUAAAUGCGGGGUCUGCCAAGGGAACGGCAGCAGCUGCACUCAUGUAACAGGGAGCUACCGGAAGGGCAAUGCUCCGCUUGGAUACUCUUUGGUGACUCACAUUCCUG
This is a long non-coding RNA of Crotalus tigris (Tiger rattlesnake), 183 nucleotides long. RefSeq lists it as uncharacterized. The record is from RefSeq and is a predicted model, not a curated record. The transcript is spliced from 3 exons. Lineage: Eukaryota; Metazoa; Chordata; Lepidosauria; Squamata; Viperidae.